This 478-nucleotide ribosomal RNA is filed under the name uncultured bacterium. Its description in RNAcentral is "partial 16S ribosomal RNA". It matches the Rfam family "Bacterial small subunit ribosomal RNA", at positions 29 to 507 of the family's 1533-position model. The record is from RNAcentral.
AUGAACGCUGGCGGCGUGCUUAACACAUGCACGUCGAGCGAGAAGUUUUGAAAAGAUUCUUCGGAUGAAAUUUAAAAUGGAAAGCGGCGGACGGGUGAGUAACGCGUAGGCAACCUGCCCCAUACAAAGGGAUAGCAUUUGGAAACGAAUAUUAAUACCUUAUGAAACUUAACUAGUGCAUGCUAGGUAGGUCAAAGAUUUAUCGGUAUGGGAUGGGCCUGCGUCUGAUUAGCUAGUUGGUGAGGUAACGGCUCACCAAGGCGACGAUCAGUAGCCGACCUGAGAGGGUGAACGGCCACAUUGGAACUGAGACACGGUCCAAACUCCUACGGGAGGCAGCAGUGGGGAAUAUUGCACAAUGGGGGAAACCCUGAUGCAGCAACGCCGCGUGAACGAUGAAGGCCUUUGGGUCGUAAAGUUCUGUUCUAGGUGAUGAAAACUGACAGUAACCUAGGAGAAAGCCCCGGCUAACUCCGUG